GACGAACGCUGGCGGCGUGCUUAACACAUGCAAGUCGAACGAUGAAGCCUAGCUUGCUAGGUGGAUUAGUGGCGAACGGGUGAGUAAUACGUGAGUGACCUACCUUUGACUCUGGGAUAAGCCUGGGAAACUGGGUCUAAUACCGGAUACGACCAAUCUCCGCAUGGGGUGUUGGUGGAAAGCGUUAUGGAGUGGUUUUAGAUGGGCUCACGGCCUAUCAGCUUGUUGGUGAGGUAAUGGCUUACCAAGGCGACGACGGGUAGCCGGCCUGAGAGGGUGACCGGCCACACUGGGACUGAGACACGGCCCAGACUCCUACGGGAGGCAGCAGUGGGGAAUAUUGCACAAUGGGCGCAAGCCUGAUGCAGCGACGCCGCGUGAGGGAUGACGGCCUUCGGGUUGUAAACCUCUGUUGGCAUCGAAGAAGCGAAAGUGACGGUAGGUGCAGAGAAAGCGCCGGCUAACUACGUGCCAGCAGCCGCGGUAAUACGUAGGGCGCGAGCGUUGUCCGGAAUUAUUGGGCGUAAAGAGCUUGUAGGCGGUUGGUCGCGUCUGCUGUGAAGGCUGGGGCUUAACCCUGGUUUUGCAGUGGGUACGGGCUAACUAGAGUGCAGUAGGGGAGACUGGAAUUCCUGGUGUAGCGGUGGAAUGCGCAGAUAUCAGGAGGAACACCGAUGGCGAAGGCAGGUCUCUGGGCUGUAACUGACGCUGAGAAGCGAAAGCAUGGGGAGCGAACAGGAUUAGAUACCCUGGUAGUCCAUGCCGUAAACGUUGGGCACUAGGUGUGGGGGACAUUCCACGUUUUCCGCGCCGUAGCUAACGCAUUAGGUGCCCCGCCUGGGGAGUACGGCCGCAAGGCUAAAACUCAAAGAAAUUGACGGGGGCCCGCACAAGCGGCGGAGCAUGCGGAUUAAUUCGAUGCAACGCGAAGAACCUUACCAAGGCUUGACAUAUACUGGACUGCGUCAGAGAUGGCGUUUCCCUUCGGGGCUGGUAUACAGGUGGUGCAUGGUUGUCGUCAGCUCGUGUCGUGAGAUGUUGGGUUAAGUCCCGCAACGAGCGCAACCCUCGUUCUAUGUUGCCAGCACGUGAUGGUGGGGACUCAUAGGAGACUGCCGGGGUUAACUCGGAGGAAGGUGGGGAUGACGUCAAAUCAUCAUGCCCCUUAUGUCUUGGGCUUCACGCAUGCUACAAUGGCCGGUACAGAGGGUUGCGAUACUGUGAGGUGGAGCUAAUCCCUAAAAGCCGGUCUCAGUUCGGAUUGGGGUCUGCAACUCGACCCCAUGAAGUCGGAGUCGCUAGUAAUCGCAGAUCAGCAACGCUGCGGUGAAUACGUUCCCAGGCCU
Molecule: ribosomal RNA, 1346 nt
Filed under: uncultured bacterium
Lineage: Bacteria
Description: bacterial SSU rRNA
Rfam family: Bacterial small subunit ribosomal RNA
Source: RNAcentral